GACUACCCGCGAAAUCGCUCCAGUCGUUGCCGGCGAACACAAGCACCACCACGUCCACGAGACUAUCCAGCCUGUGAUCCAGAAGGAGACCAUUGAGCCUCACGUCACCCACACCACUGUACCCAUCCACGAGGUUCACCACAACGCCGCCCAGCACCACUCCGCCUCUGCCCUCCCUGCAGUCUCCAUGGCCGAGUUCAAGGCACAGGGUGGCUCCCUUGUCGGCCGCGAGGAGC
RNAcentral lists this unclassified non-coding RNA (236 nucleotides) under Hevea brasiliensis (rubber tree). The record is from RNAcentral. Lineage: Eukaryota; Viridiplantae; Streptophyta; Magnoliopsida; Malpighiales; Euphorbiaceae.